GACGAACGCUGGCGGCGUGCCUAAUACAUGCAAGUAGAACGCUGAAGGAGGAGCUUGCUCUUCUGGAUGAGUUGCGAACGGGUGAGUAACGCGUAGGUAACCUGCCUGGUAGCGGGGGAUAACUAUUGGAAACGAUAGCUAAUACCGCAUAAGAGUAGAUGUUGCAUGACAUUUGCUUAAAAGGUGCAAUUGCAUCACUACCAGAUGGACCUGCGUUGUAUUAGCUAGUUGGUGGGGUAACGGCUCACCAAGGCGACGAUACAUAGCCGACCUGGGAGGGUGAUCGGCCACACUGGGACUGAGACACGGCCCAGACUCCUACGGGAGGCAGCAGUAGGGAAGCUUCGGCAAUGGACGGAAGUCUGACCGAGCAACGCCGCGUGAGUGAAGAAGGUUUUCGGAUCGUAAAGCUCUGUUGUAAGAGAAGAACGAGUGUGAGAGUGGAAAGUUCACACUGUGACGGUAUCUUACCAGAAAGGGACGGCUAACUACGUG
This 495-nucleotide ribosomal RNA is filed under the name uncultured bacterium. Its description in RNAcentral is "partial 16S ribosomal RNA". It matches the Rfam family "Bacterial small subunit ribosomal RNA", at positions 28 to 507 of the family's 1533-position model. The record is from RNAcentral.